GGGCCCGCACAAGCGGUGGAGCAUGUGGUUUAAUUCGAUGCAACGCGAAGAACCUUACCUGGUCUUGACAUCCACAGAACUUUCCAGAGAUGGAUUGGUGCCUUCGGGAACUGUGAGACAGGUGCUGCAUGGCUGUCGUCAGCUCGUGUUGUGAAAUGUUGGGUUAAGUCCCGCAACGAGCGCAACCCUUAUCCUUUGUUGCCAGCGGUCCGGCCGGGAACUCAAAGGAGACUGCCAGUGAUAAACUGGAGGAAGGUGGGGAUGACGUCAAGUCAUCAUGGCCCUUACGACCAGGGCUACACACGUGCUACAAUGGCAUAUACAAAGAGAAGCGACCUCGCGAGAGCAAGCGGACCUCAUAAAGUAUGUCGUAGUCCGGAUUGGAGUCUGCAACUCGACUCCAUGAAGUCGGAAUCGCUAGUAAUCGUAGAUCAGAAUGCUACGGUGAAUACGUUCCCGGGCCUU
Molecule: ribosomal RNA, 465 nt
Filed under: uncultured bacterium
Lineage: Bacteria
Description: bacterial SSU rRNA
Rfam family: Bacterial small subunit ribosomal RNA
Source: RNAcentral